This 200-nucleotide unclassified non-coding RNA is filed under the name Hevea brasiliensis (rubber tree). Lineage: Eukaryota; Viridiplantae; Streptophyta; Magnoliopsida; Malpighiales; Euphorbiaceae. The record is from RNAcentral.
CGCGAAUGGAAGCUCUAUGAUUAAAAGGUGAGCACGGCUAAUGAGGCUUAUUGCCUGUCUGCCGUGCCAUUUAGGCUUUAUUAUCUUACACUUAAAGAGUUGGCNNNNNNNNUAGUUGUAUAAAAAUGAACAGUAAAUACUAUGGUAUUGGUAUCAUUCAAAAAAUAGCUGACCCAUAAAUGCACUUCAAUUGUUCUGCU